UUCCUGACGAACGUUCCCACUCUGAGCGCUCAGUGAAUGCUUCUAGAAUAACUGAACCACACAUCUAAUAAAGGAGUUUCAGUGAAUAUUAGCGACGGCACUAAGAAGAAGACAAGAUGCCUGUGCCGGGGGCUGUCCGCUCCCUUUCGUCUUCCACCCGCUGGAACCUUCUGGCAAGAAGGGGAGAAGAAUGACAAGAGCAAAUUUGCAACACUGAUUUUGAAAGUCCAAGUUACUUCUUACCUGCCUUAAUCCUUGCUGGAGAAAACAGCUGAGCCCUGAGAAGUGAUGCUGUGUUGCAUGAACUGUAUUUCUCCUGGAAAUGCUUUAAGAUCUUCAAGGAGGCCAGACCACAGCACAACAGACAUCUGGAGGAGAAAUGCCCAUUUCCAUUCAAGCAUUGUUAUCCUGGGAAGCACAUAAGAGGCUUAAGCUUCAUGCCUUGAUGCAACGAGGCAGGACGGGUUGGGAGCCGGCAGAAGACAUAGCACCGUGUCAUUUCUGUGUCUAGAAGGAAAGGAUAUUUGCACUGCCAGGUGGACUGUUAAAGCUGAACUCUCAGGAGCAAGAGACUAGCCCCAGUGAGCUAGUCAGGCUUUCCUGUACCCCAGCGGAC
This 616-nucleotide long non-coding RNA is filed under the name Felis catus (domestic cat). RNAcentral describes it as "lncRNA (ENSFCAG00000051307.1)". The record is from RNAcentral. Lineage: Eukaryota; Metazoa; Chordata; Mammalia; Carnivora; Felidae.